UGGGGAAUAUUGCACAAUGGGCGCAAGCCUGAUGCAGCCAUGCCGCGUGUAUGAAGAAGGCCUUCGGGUUGUAAAGUACUUUUAGUCGGGAGGAAGGUGUCAAGGUUAAUAACCUUGGCAAUUGACGUUACCGACAGAAGAAGCACCGGCUAACUCCGUGCCAGCAGCCGCGGUAAUACGGAGGGUGCAAGCGUUAAUCGGAAUUACUGGGCGUAAAGCGCACGCAGGCGGUUUGUUAAGUCAGAUGUGAAAUCCCCGGGCUCAACCUGGGAACUGCAUCUGAUACUGGCAAGCUUGAGUCUCGUAGAGGGGGGUAGAAUUCCAGGUGUAGCGGUGAAAUGCGUAGAGAUCUGGAGGAAUACCGGUGGCGAAGGCGGCCCCCUGGACAAAGACUGACGCUCAGGUGCGAAAGCGUGGGGAGCAAACAGG
RNAcentral lists this ribosomal RNA (429 nucleotides) under Chloroflexota bacterium. Its description in RNAcentral is "Chloroflexi bacterium partial 16S ribosomal RNA". It matches the Rfam family "Bacterial small subunit ribosomal RNA", at positions 355 to 776 of the family's 1533-position model. The record is from RNAcentral. Lineage: Bacteria; Bacillati; Chloroflexota.